Molecule: ribosomal RNA, 482 nt
Filed under: uncultured bacterium
Lineage: Bacteria
Description: partial 16S ribosomal RNA
Rfam family: Bacterial small subunit ribosomal RNA
Source: RNAcentral
AUUGAACGCUGGCGGCAUGCCUUACACAUGCAAGUCGAACGGUAACAGGUCUUCGGAUGCUGACGAGUGGCGCACGGGUGAGUAAUACAUCGGAACGUGCCCGAUCGUGGGGGAUAACGAAGCGAAAGCUUUGCUAAUACCGCAUACGAUCUACGGAUGAAAGCAGGGGACCGCAAGGCCUUGCGCGAACGGAGCGGCCGAUGGCAGAUUAGGUAGUUGGUGGGAUAAAAGCUUACCAAGCCGACGAUCUGUAGCUGGUCUGAGAGGACGACCAGCCACACUGGGACUGAGACACGGCCCAGACUCCUACGGGAGGCAGCAGUGGGGAAUUUUGGACAAUGGGCGAAAGCCUGAUCCAGUCAUGCCGCGUGCAGGAUGAAGGCCUUCGGGUUGUAAACUGCUUUUGUACGGAACGAAAAGACUCUGGUUAAUACCUGGGGUCCAUGACGGUACCGUAAGAAUAAGCACCGGCUAACUACGUG